This is a small nuclear RNA of Pelodiscus sinensis (Chinese soft-shelled turtle), 105 nucleotides long. The record is from Ensembl. NCBI's taxonomy places the organism in Eukaryota, Metazoa, Chordata, Testudines, Trionychidae.
AUUCCAGGGAAGAACAUAUAUACUAAAAUUAGAAUGAUACAGAGAAGAUUAGCAUGGCCCCUGCACAAGGAUGACACACAAAUUUGUGAAGCGUUCCAGGUACCA